Mycena alexandri is the source of this 96-nucleotide non-coding RNA. NCBI's taxonomy places the organism in Eukaryota, Fungi, Basidiomycota, Agaricomycetes, Agaricales, Mycenaceae. The record is from the annotation of a GenBank genome assembly.
GACCUGAUGGCACAACGGUUAGUGUGUCUGCUCACUAUGAACAUUGAAGAAAUAUUGCAUAUGCAGAAGAUCCCGAUUCGAAUCCGGGUCAGGUCG